AACGAACGUUGGCGGCAUGCCUAACACAUGCAAGUCGAACGAGACCUUCGGGUCUAGUGGCGCACGGGUGCGUAACGCGUGGGAACCUGCCCUUAGGUUCGGAAUAAUUCCCCGAAAGGGGUGCUAAUACCGGAUAAUGUCUUCGGACCAAAGAUUUAUCGCCUUUGGAUGGGCCCGCGUUGGAUUAGCUAGUUGGUAGGGUAAAAGCCUACCAAGGCGACGAUCCAUAGCUGGUCUGAGAGGAUGAUCAGCCACACUGGGACUGAGACACGGCCCAGACUCCUACGGGAGGCAGCAGUGGGGAAUAUUGGACAAUGGGCGAAAGCCUGAUCCAGCAAUGCCGCGUGAGUGAUGAAGGCCUUAGGGUUGUAAAGCUCUUUUACCCGGGAUGAUAAUGACAGUACCGGGAGAAUAAGCUCCGGCUAACUCCGUG
This 433-nucleotide ribosomal RNA is filed under the name uncultured bacterium. RNAcentral describes it as "partial 16S ribosomal RNA". It matches the Rfam family "Bacterial small subunit ribosomal RNA", at positions 29 to 507 of the family's 1533-position model. The record is from RNAcentral.